UAUGGAUUUCUCAUUACUGAUAUUUACUAGGAUAUUAUAUAUUAUCUUAAUAAACAUAAUCAAUACAAAACUACAAGACAGAAAAAAGGAAGCUUUCUAUAUGUCAGAUCGAGUCAGAGAUUCAAACCCAUGGAAUUAUAUUGACCAAUCUCUGAAUUUAUCGAUGAUAUUGUUAUUGAUAAAUUCAGUGAUGGUGUCUUUAAAAGGACUACCUUUUUUUUUUAUUAUUUUAUAAAUUAUCAAAAAUCCAUUUCAAAUAUUUUAGUUUGUUUAAUUUAGUAAUUUUUUAACAGUUAUCUUUAAUUCUGAAAUAAAUACAUCAUAAGUCAAAUCACUGAAUUUUCUUCUAACCAUUAAAAGAAUAAAUAAAUUUCACAUAUAUUUAAUUAAUCUGCCAUCUUGAAGUAAAAUAUAACCAAUUAAAU
This 425-nucleotide long non-coding RNA is filed under the name Androctonus crassicauda. Lineage: Eukaryota; Metazoa; Arthropoda; Arachnida; Scorpiones; Buthidae. The record is from RNAcentral.